Molecule: ribosomal RNA, 189 nt
Filed under: Neobacillus cucumis
Lineage: Bacteria; Bacillati; Bacillota; Bacilli; Caryophanales; Bacillaceae
Description: partial 16S ribosomal RNA
Rfam family: Bacterial small subunit ribosomal RNA
Source: RNAcentral
UUCUUGGAGAGUUUGAUCCUGGCUCAGGACGAACGCUGGCGGCGUGCCUAAUACAUGCAAGUCGAGCGAAUCAAUGGGAGCUUGCUCCUGUUGAUUAGCGGCGGACGGGUGAGUAACACGUGGGCAACCUGCCUGUAAGACUGGGAUAACACCGGGAAACCGGUGCUAAUACCGGAUAAUUCUUUCCCU